GCCCUUGUAAUGUCAAGGAUGUGCCAAGGCCAUUCCUGAGGAUUGGCACACUUGGGUUAGGGUAGAAAUGAGCCCCUGGUGGUGCAGUGGUAAAACUGCUGCCUUGUAACCAGAAGGUUACAAGUUUGAUCCUGACCAAGGGCUCAGGGUUGACUCAGCCUUCCAUCCUUCCGAGGUUGGUAAAAUGAGUACCCAGAAUGUUGGGGGGAAAUAUGCUAAAUCAUUGUAAACCGCUUAGAGAGCUUCCAGCUAUAGAGCGGUAUAUAAAUGUAAGUGCUAUUGCUAUAGAAAGAGGGGAGCGAAAUCUCCUGAGACCUGUGGAAAAGGGAGUUGAUCUUUGGGAGGAAUGAGGGGCCGGAAACAGUGUUCUCUCUAAUUUUUUUCCAGCUAUGUGUAGAAUGAGUUUUAUUCUGGGCAGCAGUAUCAAGGCAAUGUGUAUGCACAUGCAUUCAGAGUGGGGCCUUUCUAAUUCAACCUGAGUGGGAUCUAAAAUUAACUGAGUGGACAUCAACAAAUUUGUGAGCGUGCACACAUGCGCAUGCCUUAGAGGGAACAGUGGUCAGAAAGCAAAACCACCUUGCCCCUAAGAAAUAUGCGCAAUGCAGGAUCUGCUGUCAGGGCACUCAACUCAGAAAUCUUUUUGGCAGAGGUAAUUGCUACUAGGAACACAGUUUUAAACGUCAAUAUAGGUAACUUGCAUGCAGCCAUGGCUUUAAAAGAGCUAAUCAUACGAGCAGUCAAGACCAAAUUAAAAUUGCAAGUGGGGAAACAAUGAGAAAAUGUUUUGACAUGUGCAGAUACAGAACAAAUUCCAUGGCAUUCAAGAAUGUGUCGUGAUUGAAUGUUGCCACUUGAUGUUUAAGGAUAUUGGUGAUCAAACCCUUUUGCAGCUUGCUACCUGCAAAAGCAGAACUGAACUGACAUACCUGAGACCCAGGGUCUGCCUCCCAGUCCCGAAGCCAUAGGUUCUUUCUGGCCAUUGUAUUUGCUGCCAUACUUUGAAGCCAAGGAAGAAAGCUCUCACCAGCUGUGUGAUGUUGGAGUGCCUGCUGUUUGCCACCCUAGCCAGAACUCCUCAUGAGUAGCUCUCACUGGAAGUGUGAUAUUGGAGCACAUUGCUCCAAGCUCUGAGGCUUUGGAGUGUCUCAUCACCCUGACUGGAGAACUAGAGGGCAGGGCCAGGUGAGCUGUGAUCUUCUCAUGAGCACAGAGGCACGGCGGUUCCUCUCCCUGGAGAUGUUUACUAUGGAAGACUCUACCUACCACUCCAGAGGGAGGCAAGAUUCCUAUGGUGAUGAAUGGCCUCUAGGAGCAUCAGGUGAUUAUGCAGAUUCCAUGAUCCUGACAGGAGCUGAUGAAUAUCUGCCACUGUGAUCAACUGAUCGAGCUUGAAUUUAGUGUCAAUAAUUUCUGCAUCCCGUGGUUUCAAUUAAGAAAAAAGGCAACACUAAAGCAUUAGGUGUCAUUGCAAAGAUUACAAAUAGUAUUAUAGAGAAAGCCAGAGAGGUCAUUUCAUGAGGCAAGGUGAGGUGGUCACCUCAGGAAGGAGGUUAUUGGGGCACCAGCAGAGUGGCAAGAUGUGCCCAGCUGCCAUUGAAGAGGAUCUUUGGAAUGUAUCUGACCAUCACAAGUGACGUAAAGAGGAAAGAUAAGCCUGCUACAGCCUUCUCUCCUCCCUGUCCCCCCCACUGCUUUCAAAGACACAGAGAACAGAAAAAGGAACAGUUCAUCUACAACAUACCUGCUUCAAGAGUAGAAAUAAUGACUGAAGUGCUAGGCUUGCCUUCAAUGUGCGCUGCAUGUAUAUCUCCUGUAAAAGCAGUGACUACUACAGAAUACCUUGUAAAGGGACUUAAACCUGAAACCUCAAGGGUUUUAUUCUCAUCAUUUGUCUUGACAAAUGAAGCUUUAUAAUCAUCAGUAUUCACCUAUACAAAACAAAAAGAGAUGGGGGGGGUCAUAUUUAGCAGAAUGGAAGCAUGUUUACAUGAGUGAUGAGUUAUCAAAUUGAAACCUCAGCAAAACUGCAUUGCAAUCCACAUGGGCAAAAGAAUUUGAAAGUCUGUGUAUGUGUGUGCACGUGUGCGCGCACACACACAGGAAUAAUGCCAGGACAUCAUAUAUAUGAUAUUGCUAUGCUUUUAAUCCCAGCUCAGUGUACACACAGACACACUUUGGACAUUGUUCUUCAACAACAUAAUAUUAAGGAAGGCAGAUUGUAUUAUUGGGGAGAGAGCAAGACUAGCCUGGCAAGAGUGCUGGAAAGGACAGUACUUACACAAAUGAAACAAAAUCCAGUUGCAAUAUAUGUAAAUGAAACAUCCAAGUACAGUUCUCUUCAAGAGAAAGACAGGAACUGACUGAUUGCGCCCUGCCCCCACAAAAAUCUUUAGGCAUUGCUUAAAUUAAUUUUGAGGGUGCUUUCAGAUAACUAAAUAUUGCAUGCUGGCUGUUAUGAAGGCAGUGCAUGAUUGCAAAGUUCCGAUCAAACCAGGUCUGAUUUACUCCAGAUCCACAGAGGUUGGGUUUGGGUCCUUUGGACCUUUCAGAAGGUUGGGGUUGGGUUCAGCUCCACCCCUCCCCCACCAGUGAAAAUCCCCACAGAAGUCUAUGAGGAAACUUUAAAAAAAAUCUCACACCCCUACAAAUAAAAUUACAAAAAUGGCUAGAAAGGGAGCCCUGAAAGUAGCCACAGAAGUAGGCAAGGAUGGCCAGAUUCUGUGUCUUUAAUUACAAACCUGACCAUCCGUUAGUUUUAAAUUUUUUUUAAAGUAACCCAGAAAUUGUACUCGCAGAGAAUUGUGGAAGAAAAGUGAUGUUACAUUAGAGAAUCUCAGGGAAAGUGAGGUUAAAAAAAGAUAAUCUCACAGGAAGCAAUAUAACAACAAAUCUUCUGCUUUCUUUUCACAAUUGUGAGUAAAAUGCCGGGCUAAAAUCUUUUAAGCAAGCAAGCAAGAAAACAAACAGCCAAACAAGCAGAGAGAUGCCAGAAGAUGCUCCCCCCACUGUCAUGAUGGGAUGGGGGAGUGGACUCCUGCUACCAUUUGGAGAUCCAAAAUGCUUCAAACUUACAGGGUUGGACAAGUCUGACCUGAAAUCGGCUUCUCUGAAUCAGGUUAUCUAGAGAAUGUGGAUCAAGGUUGAGCCAUUUCCGACAUAAACCAAAGUGGUCAAUGUUGGGCCAUUCCUGACCUUCCCAAUGACCUUGCACAGCCAUACUAUUUAUAAUCUCACUGGUUAAGAAAUCAUGGACAUAAUUUUGUAGAUUUACUAGGCUUUUAAUUGUGUGAGAAUUGUAGAUUUACUACAACCUCCAUGUGUAGGGGUCUCAGGAGCACAACAUCUGUUUAGACCUAUCUGUUUAGCCUGGCCUUCCAGGGUUUUAAAUGAUUAACUGUUUUACUUUGUUUUAAAUUGUUGCCCUGAUUUCCAGGGUUUUUAGCUGCUUAAUUGGUUUUAUUGUGUUUUAAUAGUUUGAUUUUAAUUGUUAAUUUGUUUUAAUUGUUUUUAUCAUGCUGUAAUCCGCCCUGAGCCAUUUUGGAAGGGUGGUAUACAAAUAUAAUAAAUAAAUAAAUAAAUAAAUAAAUAAAUAGCUGAAAGUCACAAAUUGGAUUUGCAUGUGCUUCAGUGGACAGGCAAUACAGGCAAACCUCGUUAUUCAUGGGGGUUCCUUUCCAUACUAUUGUGAGAGGAGAGCUGGUCUUGUGGUAGCAAGCAUGACUUGUCCCCUUAGCUAGGCAGGGUUCACCCUGGUUGCAUAUGAAUAGGAGCCAAGAAGUGUGAGCACUGUAUGUGUAUGUGUGAGCACUGUAUGUGUAUUCCUUUCAGGGGAUAUUCCUUCAUAUUCCAUAUCCUUUCAGGGGAUGGAGCUCCUCUGGGAAGAGCAGAAGGUUCCCAGUUCCCUCCCUGGCAUCUCCAAGAUAGGGCUGUGAGAGAUUCCUGCCUGCAUUCUUGGAGAAGCUGCUGCCAGUCUGUGAAGACAAUACUGAGCUAGAUAGACCAAUGGUCUGACUCAGUACAUGGCAGCUUCCUAUGUUCCUGUGAGUAAUGAAACCAUGAGUAAUAAGGCAUUGUGCCCAUAGAAAACAGAAGAUUAGGUUCCUGGAUAGGGAAAAAAGGCAAAAACAUGCCAAAAUUGGGGGCGGAGAGACCCCAAACCCACCCGACUACACUUUGUGCCCAGCAAUACCCCCCAAACCUCAAAUGCCCCUCAAACCACAAAAGAGGUGAAAAACAGCAAACAAACAAACAACCCAGUGAAAAAUGGGUUAGGAUUACUGUACCAUGAUCUGCAGGGUCUCCUUGUGCCCAGCAAUGCCGCCUAAGUCAUGAAAUGCCCCUCAAACCACAUAAAAAUCACAGGGGGAAAAGGCUUUUUACCCUAUUGAUUACUUAGUGUCUUUGGAGGUGUUGCAAAUAGAUUAAAGGAUUUUUAUUAUUUGGAUAAGCCAAAUUUGGAUUUAGAACCAAUUGGGGAGAAAUUUAUGAAUAAGCAUUACUCUUGGUUACAUUUUCUUCAGUUUCAGUCCUUUAUUUUACAUCCUGAUAUAGUUAAGCAGGCUAACAGGAAUUUGACUAUAUUUGAGGAAUUAAUGUUAAAGGCUUCAGAAGUUUCUAAGGGAUUUAUUUCUAGAUUAUACGAGAUUCUAAUAAUGCAAACAUCUGAUCCAUUAAUUGGCCUUAAGUUGGCCUGGGAAAAUGACCUAUAACAAACUAUUAGCAACUCACAAUGGAAUGGAAUACUGAAAUGGAAGCCGGUGUUUUCUACCUCUUCUCGAAUUAGAGAGAACUUUGUUAAGCUCUUUCACAGGUGGUAUUUGACCCCUUCUAGAUUAUCCCACAUUAAUAAGAGUUUGUCCCUGCUAUACUGGAAUGGCUGUGGAAAUAGGGGAACAUACUUCCAUCUAUGGUGGUCUUGUCUCAGUAUUUUCUGCUUUUGGACAGAGGUAUUUUUAGAAAUGGGUAAAAUUACACAACAGAGGUUAGAUAUAAGAUCAGAGCUGGCUCUGUUAAAUGUAUUUUUGGGAGCUAAUUUGGCAUUAUUAUCCAAGGAUCUUAUAGUUUGUAUGUUAACUGUGGCUAGAUUAUCCAUUGCACAAUACUGGAAGCAUAAAACCAUGUCACUGACAUCUUGGUAUCAGUCUACGUGGCAUAUUGCCAUAUCUGAAAAAUUUUAUUCGUCUUCAAGCAGGUCAAGCUAAUUCUAAUGAUUUUUUCAUGAUAUUGUCAGAUUUUAUUCUGUUCACAAAUCAAGAUAA
Molecule: long non-coding RNA, 5258 nt
Organism: Hemicordylus capensis (graceful crag lizard)
Lineage: Eukaryota; Metazoa; Chordata; Lepidosauria; Squamata; Cordylidae
Exons: 4
Source: RefSeq, a predicted model, not a curated record